CCCUUAGAUGUCCGGGGCCGCACGCGCGCUACACUGAAGGAAUCAGCGUGGCUUUCUCCCUGACCCGAAAGGGUUGGGAAACCCGUUGAAUCUCCUUCGUGAUAGGGAUUGGGGCUUGAAAUUGUUCCCCAUGAACGAGGAAUUCCCAGUAAGCGCGAGUCAUAAGCUCGCGUUGAUUACGUCCCUGCCCUUUGUACACGCCGCCCGUCGCUACUACCGAUUGAACGGUUUAGUGAGGGCCUCGGAUUGGUCUCGGCCCGCUCUUUACCGGGCGGCGCCGUUGGUCGAGAAGACGCUCGAACUUGAUCGUUUAGAGGAAGUAAAAGUCGUAACA
RNAcentral lists this ribosomal RNA (334 nucleotides) under uncultured eukaryote. RNAcentral describes it as "partial 18S ribosomal RNA". It matches the Rfam family "Eukaryotic small subunit ribosomal RNA", at positions 1470 to 1796 of the family's 1831-position model. The record is from RNAcentral.